UACGGGGGGAGCAAGCGUUGUUCGGAUUUACUGGGCGUAAAGGGCGCGUAGGCGGUGCAACAAGUCACUUGUGAAAUCUCCGGGCUUAACCCGGAGCGGCCAAGUGAUACUGUCGUGCUAGAGUGCGGAAGGGGCUACUGGAAUUCUCGGUGUAGCGGUGAAAUGCGUAGAUAUCGAGAGGAACACCUGCGGCGAAGGCGGGUAGCUGGGCCGACACUGACGCUGAGGCGCGAAAGCCAGGGGAGCGAACGGG
RNAcentral lists this ribosomal RNA (253 nucleotides) under uncultured bacterium. Its description in RNAcentral is "partial 16S ribosomal RNA". It matches the Rfam family "Bacterial small subunit ribosomal RNA", at positions 524 to 776 of the family's 1533-position model. The record is from RNAcentral.